RNAcentral lists this ribosomal RNA (349 nucleotides) under Serratia fonticola. RNAcentral describes it as "bacterial SSU rRNA". It matches the Rfam family "Bacterial small subunit ribosomal RNA", at positions 22 to 369 of the family's 1533-position model. The record is from RNAcentral. Lineage: Bacteria; Pseudomonadati; Pseudomonadota; Gammaproteobacteria; Enterobacterales; Yersiniaceae.
GCUCAGAUUGAACGCUGGCGGCAGGCCUAACACAUGCAAGUCGAGCGGUAGCACAGGGAGCUUGCUCCUGGGUGACGAGCGGCGGACGGGUGAGUAAUGUCUGGGAAACUGCCCGAUGGAGGGGGAUAACUACUGGAAACGGUAGCUAAUACCGCAUAACGUCUUCGGACCAAAGUGGGGGACCUUCGGGCCUCACACCAUCGGAUGUGCCCAGAUGGGAUUAGCUAGUAGGUGAGGUAAUGGCUCACCUAGGCGACGAUCCCUAGCUGGUUAGAGAGGAUGACCAGCCACACUGGAACUGAGACACGGUCCAGACUCCUACGGGAGGCAGCAGUGGGGAAUAUUGCAC